UACAGAGACUGCAAGCGUUAAUCGGAAUUACUGGGCGUAAAGCGUGCGUAGACGGUCAUGUAAGUCGGGUGUGAAAGCCCCGGGCUCAACCUGGGAAUUGCAUUCGAGACUGCAUGGCUAGGGUGCGGAAGAGGGAAGCGGAAUUUCCGGUGUAGCGGUGAAAUGCGUAGAUAUCGGAAGGAACACCAGUGGCGAAAGCGGCUUCCUGGUCCAGCACCGACGUUCAGGCACGAAAGCGUGGGGAGCAAACAGG
This 253-nucleotide ribosomal RNA is filed under the name uncultured bacterium. RNAcentral describes it as "partial 16S ribosomal RNA". It matches the Rfam family "Bacterial small subunit ribosomal RNA", at positions 524 to 776 of the family's 1533-position model. The record is from RNAcentral.